CCAGCGCGUUGAGUAGCAGCCCCGAUGUUCCGUCAAACGAAAAUCGGGGAGGAAAGUCCGAACACUACCGGGUCGCAAGAUUCGGAGAAAGGUAGCAGGUAACCCCUGUCGUGCGCUCCUGGCGGGCGCAAGAGGUGCGAACAGAGACGAGCCUUCGAUUUCUUUAGGGUUUACCCUGAGCGAAGUCGAAGGGUGAAACGGCAAAAUCCUUACCCGAGUGCAAGGCCGUGCUCCAGCAAUGGAGAGUGCCGCUUGAGCUUGGUGGCGACACCAGGCCCAGAUAAAUUGUUGCUCAUAUUUGCUUUCGGGCAGAUUGGACAGAACUCGGCUUACAGACGCGCGCGCUAG
RNAcentral lists this RNase P RNA (348 nucleotides) under bacterium. RNAcentral describes it as "RNase P RNA component class A". It matches the Rfam family "Bacterial RNase P class A". Rfam says of the family: Ribonuclease P (RNase P) is a ubiquitous endoribonuclease, found in archaea, bacteria and eukarya as well as chloroplasts and mitochondria. Its best characterised activity is the generation of mature 5'-ends of tRNAs by cleaving the 5'-leader elements of precursor-tRNAs. Cellular RNase Ps are ribonucleoproteins. The record is from RNAcentral.